UAAACUCAGAUGAGACUCCUCAUCAGUGUA
Molecule: non-coding RNA, 30 nt
Filed under: Rattus norvegicus (Norway rat)
Lineage: Eukaryota; Metazoa; Chordata; Mammalia; Rodentia; Muridae
Source: RNAcentral